Molecule: ribosomal RNA, 392 nt
Filed under: uncultured microorganism
Description: bacterial SSU rRNA
Rfam family: Archaeal small subunit ribosomal RNA
Source: RNAcentral
GCGCAGCAGGCGCGAAACUUUACAAUGUGCGAAGCACGAUAAGGGAACUCUGAGUGCCUCCUAAGGAGGCUGUUCAGGUGUCUAAAAGCACCUGAAGGAAGGGCUGGGUAAGACCGGUGCCAGCCGCCGCGGUAACACCGGCAGCCCAAGUGGUAGCCACGUUUAUUGGGUCUAAAGCGUCCGUAGCCGGCUGGGUAAGUUCCUUGGGAAAUUUGGCUGCUUAACAGUCAAGCUUUCAGGGAAUACUGCCCGGCUUGGGACCGGGAGAGGUCAGAGGUACUCCAGGGGUAGGGGUGAAAUCCAUUAAUCCUUGGGGGACCACCGGUAGCGAAGGCGUCUGACCAGACCGGGUCGACGGUGAGGGACGAAGGCUAGGGGCGCGAACCGGAUUA